This 468-nucleotide ribosomal RNA is filed under the name uncultured bacterium. Its description in RNAcentral is "partial 16S ribosomal RNA". It matches the Rfam family "Bacterial small subunit ribosomal RNA", at positions 28 to 507 of the family's 1533-position model. The record is from RNAcentral.
GACGAACGCUGGCGGCGUGCUUAACACAUGCAAGUCGAACGGAAAGGCCCUGCUUUUGUGGGGUGCUCGAGUGGCGAACGGGUGAGUAACACGUGAGUAACCUGGCCUUUACUUUGGGAUAACUUCAGGAGACUGGGGCUAAUACCGGCUAGGAGCUCCUGCUGCAUGGUGGGGGUUGGAAAGUUUCGGCGGUGGGGGAUGGACUCGCGGCUUAUCAGCUUGUUGGUGGGGUAGUGGCUUACCAAGGCUUUGACGGGUAGCCGGCCUGAGAGGGUGACCGGCCACAUUGGGACUGAGAGACGGCCCAGACGCCUACGGGAGGCAGCAGUGGGGAAUAUUGCACAAUGGGCGGAAGCCUGAUGCAGCAACGCCGCGUGCGGGAUGACGGCCUUCGGGUUGUAAACCGCUUUCGCCUGUGACGAAGCGUGAGUGACGGUAAUGGGUAAAGAAGCACCGGCUAACUACGUG